GUCAGUUCUACCCAGAGAGAGACGACACAAAUCUAAAACUCUCUCCAUCAUGUCAGCUCUCAGUCACUGGUUCUGAACUGAUCAGGUGGACAGGACGAAGGUCUCCUGGAACACUUCAUAUUACUUGUUACUACACUGUGGAUAACUCUGUUCGUACUCCUUCUCCUCACUCUCUCCCAGCUCCAGUCUCAGUGCGGUAUCAGAAACCGAGACUAAGCGUCAGUCAUGAUGGUCAGUUUGAUGAAUUCAGAUUUGUGUGUGAAAUAUCAGGGUCAGAGUCAGUAACUGCUGAUUUUAGCUGUAAUCUCUACACUGGAGAAAAUCCUCAGCU
Ictalurus punctatus (channel catfish) is the source of this 331-nucleotide long non-coding RNA. NCBI's taxonomy places the organism in Eukaryota, Metazoa, Chordata, Actinopteri, Siluriformes, Ictaluridae. The record is from Ensembl.